AUUCACUAGCUGACAUUGUUUUUGCUAUUUUCCCCCUAAUUCUUCCAUGUUUUUCUUUCAGUUAAGAAAUUAUUGAGCAAAGAUGACUGAAAGAGUUUUAGAGAAGCUAUCGGCCUUGGACAAACGUUCAGAGAAGGUGAUGGAUAUAUGGACACAGAAAUGUUGGAUGCAAAAUGUCAGCAGGAAGAAGAGUUUGCGUAUUCCCCUGACCUUUGACUUCCACACAGGCUUUGAAAAACCCUGUCCUAAAAGCAUUCCUUCCAAACUCAAAGAAUCUUCCCAAAAGGAACAGUCAUCGGUAGAUGGUCGAAAGGUGGACAAAAAGCUUACCAGUGGUUCAAAUGUAUGGAAGCCCAAACUUCUGACUUCUGGACUUUUGCCCAGAAAGUGUCUCUUUGGGAAGGCAAAUAUGAGACCUUAUUCUGUUCCAGGCAACCUGAAAUAUCAGCUUUUAGUAGAGAAACUACAGUUUUCAGAAGCACCUGCACAAUGGAAGUCUGUUAAGCCUUUUCUUUACCCAAAAAGCAAGGACAAAGCUGAGACAGGACACAUGAUACCAUGGAUCAGAAUAUCCCAACCAACUCCGUCAUCAUUCAAAGGACCUGCUUUGGGCACUCCAGAAUUCUCUGCUCCAUAUUAUCAGUCCAGUUAUAGAGAAAAGGAAAGGAAAUGCACAGAUUUUCCCGGUAAAAACAGAUAUCUUUUUCAGAAAUUUGGAAAAAUCCCUGACACAACUGGCAUUUUACCAAGGGACGGCGUGAGAGGAAGGAAAAGAGUGAUCGCCCAAAAGGAUGCUACUUCUCUGGGGAGAAGAGGAUCGUUCAGGUACAUCCUUCCCACCCGACGUGAUUUAGAGAAUGAGACAACACAUUUGAUCCCUCUGACUGUGCAGGAUGAGCUGAGGAAGCCAAACACCAAGGUCAUCAGCCACCAUCACCCAAAACAAGAGGCUUCUUCCCCGGUAACAAAAACGAGCAUCUUCCCGGCCAUUCCCGGUCACCCUGGGGCUGAGAGGGGA
Molecule: long non-coding RNA, 1018 nt
Filed under: Phascolarctos cinereus (koala)
Lineage: Eukaryota; Metazoa; Chordata; Mammalia; Diprotodontia; Phascolarctidae
Description: lncRNA (ENSPCIG00000028907.2)
Source: RNAcentral